Molecule: long non-coding RNA, 658 nt
Filed under: Lotus japonicus
Lineage: Eukaryota; Viridiplantae; Streptophyta; Magnoliopsida; Fabales; Fabaceae
Description: long non-coding RNA (LJAP_LNC000450)
Source: RNAcentral
GGUGGUGGACACGGGGUUUCCGUAGGAGGGCUUGGUGGUGUAACCACGGGAGGUGUUGGUGUAGGUGGUGUAACAAUCGGUGGGGUUGGUGUAGGUGGUGUAACAAUAGGUGGUGAUGGUACAACUGGGGGUAGUGGAACAUAAGGUGGAGGGUAAACAAUUGGUGGUUUCACAAUAGGAGGUGUUGGAACAUAAGGUGGAGGGUAAACAAUUGGUGGUUUCACAAUAGGAGGUUUUGGAACAUAAGGUGGAGGGUAAACAAUGGGUGGUUUUGGCACAUAAGGUGGUGUCACCGGUACAACCGGUGGCUUAGGCACAUAUGGCGGUGUAACUGGUACAACAGGUGGUUUUGGCACAUAAGGUGGAGAAACAACUGGUGGCUUAGGAACAUAAGGUGGUGGUUUCACAACUGGUGGUUUAGGCACAUAAGGAGGUUUCACAAUUGGUGGUUUGGGAACAUGGGGUGGUUUUGGCACAUAAGGUGGUUUCACAAUUGGUGGUUUUGGAACAUGGGGUGGUUUCACAACUGGUGGUUUUGGCACAUGAGGUGGUUUAACCACUGGAGGCUUGGGAUAGUGAGGUGGUUUUGGUGAUGGCUUGGGGGGUGGACAUGGUUCCGGGCCAUGAGAUGGAGGGUACUUUGGGGGGUUAUGAACUG